GUGACUUUAGUAAUAUUUAAAGACACCAGCAAUGUUUCAGUAAAAGCUGCUGAAGCAUUGCUGGUGUGUUUAAAUAUUACUAAAGUCAC
Molecule: non-coding RNA, 89 nt
Organism: Podarcis lilfordi (Lilford's wall lizard)
Lineage: Eukaryota; Metazoa; Chordata; Lepidosauria; Squamata; Lacertidae
Source: the annotation of a GenBank genome assembly